AAUCAACGCUGGCGGCGUGCCUAACACAUGCAAGUCGAACGCGAAAGUCCCGCAAGGGAUAAGUAGAGUGGCAAACGGGUGAGUAACACGUGGGUGACCUGCCUUCGAGUGGGGGAUAACGUCCCGAAAGGGACGCUAAUACCGCAUGACAUCCUGCUUUUAAAGAGGUGGAGAUCAAAGCCGGGGAUCCGCAAGGACCUGGCGCUUGAAGAGGGGCCCGCGCCUGAUUAGCUAGUUGGUGGGGUAACGGCUCACCAAGGCAACGAUCAGUAUCCGGCCUGAGAGGGCGGACGGACACACUGGGACUGAGACACGGCCCAGACUCCUACGGGAGGCAGCAGUGGGGAAUUGUUUGCAAUGGGCGCAAGCCCGACGACGCAACGCCGCGUGGAGGAUGAAGACCUUCGGGUUGUAAACUCCUUUCGAUCGAGACGAACGGCUUCCGGGUGAACAAUCCGGAAGAGUGACGGUACCGAGAGAAGAAGCCCCGGCUAACUCCGUG
RNAcentral lists this ribosomal RNA (502 nucleotides) under uncultured bacterium. RNAcentral describes it as "bacterial SSU rRNA". It matches the Rfam family "Bacterial small subunit ribosomal RNA", at positions 32 to 507 of the family's 1533-position model. The record is from RNAcentral.